UCGAGCGUCAUUUCAACCAAUCAAGCCUCGGCUUGGUCUUGGGGUUUGCGGUCCCGCAUCCCCUAAACUCAGUGGCGGUGCGAUUGAGCUCUGAGCGUAGUAAUUUUUUCUCGCUAUAGGGUCUCAAUCGUGACUUGCUAGUAACCCCCCAUUUUUAUCAGGUUGACCUCGGAUCAGGUAGGGAUACCCGCUGAACUUAA
Molecule: unclassified non-coding RNA, 200 nt
Filed under: soil metagenome
Description: partial contains internal transcribed spacer 2 and large subunit ribosomal RNA
Source: RNAcentral